UGGGUCAGGGUAUAAAAAUUGAUAAGAAAUGAAUUUUGCAUAGCAUAUUAGAAAGCUUACCUAUUCUUCAGUUGUAGUAUUAAUUCUACACAAAGCUCAGUACAUUUAAAUCAUUUACAUUUAAAAAGUAUCGAAGCGAAUUUUGUUAUAAGUUCGCUUGCAUUUUAGCUAAAUUUAAUAUUUGAAAAUAGCCAGAUUUGUAGCUAAUAGCUGUUUGAAAAUUUUUGUAGCAAUCGGCCUUAAAAAGUAGCCAGAUCUAGCUACAAAAUAGCUGAUUCGGCAACACUGUUUGGAUGUAGUCU
Molecule: long non-coding RNA, 302 nt
Organism: Drosophila mojavensis
Lineage: Eukaryota; Metazoa; Arthropoda; Insecta; Diptera; Drosophilidae
Exons: 3
Source: RefSeq, a predicted model, not a curated record